RNAcentral lists this long non-coding RNA (1364 nucleotides) under Pan paniscus (pygmy chimpanzee). RNAcentral's name for it is "lncRNA (ENSPPAG00000045579.1)". Lineage: Eukaryota; Metazoa; Chordata; Mammalia; Primates; Hominidae. The record is from RNAcentral.
GCUCUUGCCCAGGCUGGAGUGCAGUGGCGCAACCUUGGCUCACUGCAACCUCCACCUCCUGGGGUCAAAUGAUUCUCCUGCCUCAGCCUCCUGAGUAGCUGGGAAUAUAGGCGUACACCACCAUGCCCAGCUAAGUUUUUUUUUUUUUUUUGAGACGGAGUCUCGCUCUGUCGCCCAGGUCGGAGUGCAGUGGUGCGAUCUUGGCUCACUGCAAGCUCCGCCUCCUGGGUUCACGCCAUUCUCCUGCCUCAGCCUCCCGAGUAGCUGGGACUACAGGCGCCCGCCACCAUGCCCAGCUAAUUUUUAUUUUUUAUUUUUUAUUUUUAUUUUUGUAUUUUUAGUAGAGAUAGAGUUUCACCAUGUUAGCCAGGAUGGUCUCGAUCUCCUGACCUCGCGAUCCGCCUGUCUUGGCCUCCCAAAGUGCUGGGAUUACAGGCGUGAGCCACCGCGCCUGGCCAUUUUUUGUAUUUUUAGUAGAGAUGGGGUUUCACCAUGUUGGCCAGGCUGGUCUCGAACUCCUGAGUUCAGGUGAUCUGCCCGCCUUGGCCUCCCAAAGUGCUGGGAUUACAGGCGUGAGCUGAUUUCCUGUCCAUCAAGCUGGUAGCUUCAGUGGCUGUGAGGGCGUGGGUGUGGUGGCCAUAGCCACAGCAUUUGGUGGCUUUGAUAAUGGCCAGAUGACAGAGGUAUCUGGAACAGAGGGGAGCAGGGGUCACAGCGAUGGACAGUGGCCAUGGUGAUGGCGGCCAGGGUGGUGGACAUCGCCCUGUGAGGUGGCCGUAGCCAUGCAUGGAGCGUGCCCCGUCUCACCUGGCAUCUCUUGCUUUAGCAUUGGAGGAGCCGGUGCCCGAUGACCGCUAUCACGCCAUCUACUUUGCGAUGCUGCUGUCUGGUGUGGGCUUCCUGCUGCCAUACAACAGCUUCAUCACGGACGUGGACUACCUGCAUCACAAGUACCCAGGGACCUCCAUUGUGUUUGACAUGAGCCUCACCUACAUCUUGGUGGCGCUGGCAGCCGUGCUCCUGAACAACGUCCUGGUGGAGAGACUGACCCUGCACACCAGGAUCACCGCAAGCUACCUCUUAGCCUUGGGCCCUCUCCUUUUUAUCAGCAUCUGUGACGUGUGGCUGCAGCUCUUCUCUCGGGACCAGGCCUAUGCCAUCAACCUGGCUGCUGUGGGCACCGUGGCCUUCGGCUGCACAGGUAGGAACUGGGGCCCAAGGGGGAGGCCCUGAGUGCCCACUUCCAACCCCAUCCCACCCCAGCCCUGGUCUCCUGCUGGUGGCAUGUGACAUGACAGGAGCCGGGCUGGCUGACUGCCAGGUGUGUGUCCACCUGCAUGCCAGCGUGCACACCUGCACACCGA